AGAACAGGAAGACUGAGCAACUAUGCGAAUGUCAGGAACUUGGGAGGAGAAAAAUGAAACUGAGAACAGAGUAUAGAAAGGCCUGAUUGGACCACUGCAGGAAAUUGUGAUGAAGACCCUCUCUUCAAGGAACAUCUCUCCAUACAUGGAUGUCCUCUUUGCCCAACAAGCAAGUAAUCACAUGAUACAGGGACAUCCAGAAGCCUAACACAUCAGAUAAGGGAAUUAAGACUCCCAUCAUCACCUCCAAGGUCUUUAUGUCUACAUUUCACUAGUCAUUUUGGAAAUCAUAAAUACAUGAAAGUCACUUCACCUUGUAUCAACAUCUGGUAAAAUGAGUGACUGCCCUGUAUAGACUUUAUGACUAAAAUUUCUCCAAAAGACUUGCACUAAAACACAUUGGUUAAAAUCACAAAUUAGUUGAAAACAAAAACCUUUCCAGUCACUGUCUUAAAAAAUAUGUGAUUUCUGCGUAUCAUGAGACUAUUUUUCAAUUUUUGAGGCUACAAUUAAUUUCAAGCCAUUUCUUCAGAAAGUAUUUGGUUAGAGAAUCAUUUUUCUUAUACUUGUUUAGAAUAAUAGUUUAUAUUUUAGUACUUUUGUUUAUUUUUCAAAUCUCAUAAAAUUAUCUUAAAUUAAUUGGUUAAUAUUUUCAGAAAUUAUAAAAUAAUAUUUCUCUAAAUAAAGUACCCAAAAUAA
Molecule: long non-coding RNA, 699 nt
Organism: Bubalus bubalis (water buffalo)
Lineage: Eukaryota; Metazoa; Chordata; Mammalia; Artiodactyla; Bovidae
Exons: 2
Source: RefSeq, a predicted model, not a curated record